RNAcentral lists this ribosomal RNA (49 nucleotides) under fungal sp. 1.30.3M. RNAcentral's name for it is "partial 28S ribosomal RNA". Lineage: Eukaryota; Fungi. The record is from RNAcentral.
GUUGACCUCGGAUCAGGUAGGGAUACCCGCUGAACUUAAGCAUAUCANA